CUCUGGGUCAGGUCUCGUCAGCA
RNAcentral lists this unclassified non-coding RNA (23 nucleotides) under Mus musculus (house mouse). Its description in RNAcentral is "oocyte_clustered_small_RNA8625". Lineage: Eukaryota; Metazoa; Chordata; Mammalia; Rodentia; Muridae. The record is from RNAcentral.